UUAAGUGUAAGAGCAUUAUCAGUAUUGUACAGUAGUUGGGACAGUAGUUAGCUUUCAGAUGUCAGAUGAAAAACAUCUUUUUGAGUCACAGUGCCAAACUACUGCAGAAUAUUUUGAUCCUUAUUUUUCAGCCUGAAGGACUGGCAUUUAUUUAAUGGACAGAUGGCACAGCCAUUUACUUAGUCAGAGGAUUUAGAAAUUUCUUUAAGAAAGGUUCAUUGUUUUUGUUCUUUUAUCAUAGCUUCAGUUUGUGUACUUACUUUGGUUUGUGACUUAAACUGUUUUAUUAGGUACUGACAGAUUUUGUUAACAGGGAACGAUGAUAGGUGAAGAUCAAGUUACCAAAUAAAACUGUCCAUAUGUAUAUUUGUCUGCUAUGUAUCUGUUUAAGCACUACUUUAAUAGAGAUAUAAAGAGAGAGAGACCCAUUAACUAAUUCAUAGAACCCCUUUCUACCUUUUCAAGUUUGAUACACAUGUUUCUUUUCAAGCAUUGUGUGCAGACGUUGCAAGUCAUUAGUCUGAAGGUUACGGGUUCCUUAGAUUUUUGCUUCUUCAGCAUCAGAAAAAAGGCUAAACAAAGACUAAACUCAGAAACAAUAUAACUGUCUGGUUGUGAUCAGAAUAAAAGGCAACGUGAAAGGUGACUUAAUUCCCAGUGAGAUUUCUCUAUGUUCUAUAUGACCUUUCUACAGUAUGUGCCAUUAAGACCUAGUUUCCAGCCAUCAUUACAGCACGGGAGAGGAAAUGUUGUUCAUCAGAUGUGUGAUGUACAUCUAAACAAUCUGAUAACAAACUACACACAACAUUUAUGUUUUGAAAAAUAGCAUUGGACCAAAUCCAUAGUUUACAUCAUCUGUAUAUUUAAUCUAUAUCACAAGUACUGAACAAGUUAGAGGAAGAGAAUAUGUAGAUUUACUUUUCAUUGGAACUUUAUUGUUUAUUUUGAUCUGUCUUGAUUCAUUUUCAUAUUCAGUUUUUUUUUAAAUUCAUUUUAUUAUUAUUUUUAUGAACUACCUUCAACCUAGGAUCAUCUGGCAUCUAACAUAACGUGUGAAUGUAGGAACAUGGAUUUUCACUAUGCACUCCACUGGCACCCUAGCUGAAAAGAAAGUUAAACAUGUUAAAUCUUCAAAGGUCAGGCAGUGGCGGAGUAAGGAAAAUAAAAGCACAUCACCUAUUUAGAUUAUAUCUAUGAUUAAGUUCACAUUCAAUUAGGAAAUGAAGCUCAUGUUAAGGCUAAUUCUUCCACACAUGUCUUCAGAAGAAAUUGAUGAUCAGUUCCCUAGGCAUUGUGUCUCAAUUUAAAAUAAACACUCACAUGCAGAUACAGAAGGUAUGAUAUUGUGCACAGAGGCAAGAUAGACAGGGAUAUUUGAAAUGAAAUUUAUCAUAUAUAUUAACUAUCAUAUCUAUUUAACAUAUCUAUUUAAAUACUUAUUAAGGUUACUGUGCUAGCGAGUGUAUCAUAUGUUCUCUGACGUUUUUUACUUGCUCUAACAAUACCAGAUGGGAAUGAUCAUUUUUCUAUGACAAACCUUGUUCUCACUAGAAUAUAGUUCUGUUUGAAAAGCAGUUUUGUCCUCACAGUUUCAUCACAAGAUUCAGACGUGGAUAAAUUUCAACAUGGAAGGAAAAGUGAGGCGCUAACAUAUUUUGACCCAGGUACAGCUUAUUUGAAGCAAAGAAAAACCCCAACAAGGGAACUACUGAAACAACACCAUGAACACUCCUAGAUUUCACCUGUUUUUAAUAAGGAUAAUGAAUUGUUGCAAUUCCUGGUUGAGCUUUGAAAGAUCAAGAGCAGCGUUAUUAACAUGGCCUUGAGAACACAAGGUAAGCUUGUGCUACUGCUUAGAAAUGUGCUGUAGAUAGCCAUGUAUCAACUAUGCUUGAGAAAUAAGCUGACAUCAGAAGUCCACAUGACUUGUCUCCAUGUUUCAAAGCUGUGCUGUUUGUACGUGAUAAGUUAUUAAAGGGAUCAUGACAUGAUUUUUUUAAAUCUUCCCUGAGGUGUAAUUAUAAUAUUAGUAAAGUUUUUUUGGACAAAAAACAUACAAAAUGUAGUAAUUUAUAACUUGUUUCUAUGCUUUCUCUGACCCUCUGACUGAAACGACCGUUUUUUGUCCUUUAAUGUCCUUCAAUGUAACCACCCACGGCCACGGAUCACAUGCACUCUACUGUCUUCACUCCUAUUGGUAGUCGCUACACCAAGUCUUGCUGUAGGGUCAGUCAUAUACAAAUGUAUUUGCCCGUGUGAUGUCACAAAUCCUGCCACAUCCAAAUGAGCCGUUUUUGGAUAAAUGCUCUUUAUGUACUGAAAAGGAUGUAUUAAGCUAUGAAACCUGCAGGACGUUUUAAUGGUACAAUGACCUCCUAUAUGUUAAAAGAUUAAGGACAAUUUUAUUUUAGAUUUAGAUUUCUUAUGUCAUGACCCCUUUUAGGUUUGACUUAAAUAUGAACAAAUAAAUUUAAAUGUCUACGUUCAUGCCAUUGAUAAAAUGACUUUUCAGUUAAAAGCAAAUUCGGGCUUGCAACAACUGCAGCUCUUCAAGGCUUCGAUGAUACAGACACCAAGGCAGAGGAGGACAUCUUCCACGAAUUGAUUGAAGGCAGUCCACAUUUAAGCUUAACUGUAAGAUGUCCAGAGAAAAAUCUUUUUGCUGGAUUGCCUGAAGGUAAAUCAGGACUUUUCUCUGCUGUUCAAUGCUGAAACAUCCAACAAGUUGCUUGAGAGGUGGGAGACCGCAUUCAAGCACAAGAUCAUAAACGAAGCCAAGUCUCUUACUUCAACAGCAGAAAUUCAGUGUCUUCUCAGUGCAGCUGGGGGACAAGGAUCUGAAAACGUCAUCCACCAGUAUUGAAGGCCAUCUCAGUGCCGGGGAGGGCAGCCAGCCGUAUCUACUGGCAUUAGGAAGGAUCAAGGGCAGGAUUGACAAAUUCUACAUGGUUGUGGAUAAGCACCUCAUCCUUUGCACAGGAACCAGCUCCUUGAGUGCUACAGAUGAACUCUUCAAAGUCCACUAUGUGUUCAACCUGUCGUAUGAGUAAGCCCUUGUCAACAUCUUUAUCUUCCUGCAGACUACAAUCUACAACAUUGAUGUUGGUCUUACCAGUGAGUCUCCCAGAGUAAAGGAAUUGCGUGCAAAGCUUUUGAGCUAGGUUAAAUGUUAGUGUUUCUGUUGUCAAAGUCUGCAUGCAAAGCCACGAGGGUCACACACAGUUUCUAUCCUUCAUUAGAGGUUAAGUUGUUAUGUGCGCAGGGUGGCUGUAGGCGACAGUUUUGUGGACAAACUUUGUACAGAACAUUUCUCAGAGCAUCAGCAUGCAUUUAAAGUACACAGAUGUGACUUGGGUGAACUUGUAAAAGCCCAGAGUUUGAAGUUCUACAGGCGUUUUGAUCUACAGAGUCCAUAUGGGUCAGAUGAUGGUGAAUAUAUUGUACCGCAGUUCAUGCUGGUUUGUUACAUCUAAGAUACCGUGUUGAAAAUAAAAAUUCAACUUGAUACAGCAACUGAUGUGUUAGCUGUUCCUUUAUUGACGACUACACACAUUUUAAAGAUAUGCAUUUUUAGGCAUACAGAGUGUAGAUUACAUUGAAUUACCUCAAUCUGUGUAUGAACAUUAUUUAGUGUUGAAAAUAACUCCCUUAGUGUUGAGCUGUUGACACAUUUAGUGUAGAUUCAACACUUGCUUAGUGUAAAUGGAGCCUAAGAGGAGUAAAAAACUACACCAAUGGUGUUAACAGUAAACACUUACAGUGCUUUUUCAACACUAUGAGAGUGUAGAAAAAAAUAACACUAUUUAAAGUGUAAAUGUAACUCUAUUUAUUGUGGACCUAUAUAAACUCUGGAUAAGUGUUAAUUUUAACACUGUGAGUGUGACUAUAACACUUUAAAAUUUGCUGUGUAUCAUGGACAGUGCACUGUAUGUUACAUGACCUGUCAUGUUGCUGAGUUGCUGUUAUAGAAAAUAAAACAAUU
This is a long non-coding RNA of Ictalurus furcatus (blue catfish), 3982 nucleotides long. RefSeq lists it as uncharacterized. Lineage: Eukaryota; Metazoa; Chordata; Actinopteri; Siluriformes; Ictaluridae. The record is from RefSeq and is a predicted model, not a curated record. The transcript is spliced from 3 exons.